Molecule: non-coding RNA, 31 nt
Filed under: Homo sapiens (human)
Lineage: Eukaryota; Metazoa; Chordata; Mammalia; Primates; Hominidae
Source: RNAcentral
UCUCCUGAAUACAGGACAACAAUGGGUCUUU